AUGAGUCGAUCCAAUCUUGUCUUGUUUCUCUCAUCAUUCGUAUGCGACCUAGCAACUAGCUGCAUAACUGCACGUCUUCCAGAAAUGAAUGAUAGUCAAGCAGGUGAACUAGAAGCCUUGGAGGGAUUAUUGGUUGAUCCAAGUGCAAAGCCCAUCAAGCUAUCGUAUGGUCUUUUGAAAUUCGUCACAGGAAAUUUUUCUAACGAAAUAGGUCGUGGUGGGUUUGGAGUUGUUUACCAGGGAAGUUUGCAAAAUGGGGAGGUUGCUGUAAAGAAGAUCUCCAAUGUACAUGAGCUUUCUGAUAAGACAUUCAUGGAUGAGAUCACAUGUUUAAUAAAGGCAAAGCACAAGAAUAUAGUAAGAUUUCUAGGCUAUUGUUCAGAUACCCAGGGGGAAGUGAUGGAAUAUAAUGGGGCCUAUGUGAUGGCAGAGGUACAAAAAAGGCUGCUUUGUUUUGAGUAUGCUCCUAAUGGAAACAUUCGGGACUAUCUUGAAGAGAAACGGGGUGAAAAUGGGUGGCAUAUAAGGUACCGAAUAAUAAAGGGAAUAUGUGAGGGUCUGCACUACCUUCAUGCACAACGCAUCAGUCAUUUGGACCUCAAACCUGAGAAUGUUAUGCUGGAUGCUGGUAUGGAGGCAAAAAUCACGGACUUUGGUCUAGCAAGAUGUUUAGUUGAUGGCCACUCCAUAGUUUAUACUAAGAUUAUCCGGGGAACGCCGGGAUAUAUGGCACCAGAAAACAUAAACACGGGAGAAAUAUCAUUAAAGUCAGACAUAUAUGCAUUGGGCAUUAUUAUACUAAAGCUAGUAACCGGGUGUAACGUCAUCGAUUUUGAUAAUUGGCAUGAAUUGUCAGAUUUGGACAACCCGCAAGUGAAGACGGGAUGUAUCAAGAUCGCUCGAGCCUGUAUCGAAGUUGACCAAUAUAAAAGACCUACUGUAGUUGAAAUAAUCCGUGAGUUGGACGAGAUAGAGAACAUGUCUCAAUAUUUGAAAGAUGUCACGGGUUCUUCCACAGGCCAGGAAACUGAUCCAAGGAGUCGUCUUGGCCGACGGACAGACACUGAUCCUCCUAGAGCUCAGGCGAAAGAAGCACAAACUGCUCUCACCACAGGGCCUUCUUCGGUUAAACCCCCUCCCAAGGGGAUUGGACGGAAUUGGAGGAGAUUUCGUGGGAUUUUGACUCGUUGGGGAGUCAACCUCUCUCAAUCCCGGCCAAUCCCCCUCAAUUCCUUGUCCAAGAACAACGGCAGAGUGGAGAGGGACGAACAAUGGGCUGCCGCACAGAGGACGCUUCAUAGCAUUCAAGAACCUGAGCAGGCCUCCAACACACUGUUCAAUAAGAACAGCUACCAUGAGCUCACUGAGAUAGCUGAGCAAGCCAAGAGAAGAGCUGAGAUUGCAAGGCUGAGAGAGUUGAGCACACUAAAGGGCCACGUUGAGUCGGUCGUGAGGCUUAAGGGGCUCGACAUUGACACCAUCAACCAGAACUACACAGUGUGA
This 1503-nucleotide ribosomal RNA is filed under the name Triticum aestivum (bread wheat). RNAcentral's name for it is "partial small subunit ribosomal RNA". The record is from RNAcentral. Lineage: Eukaryota; Viridiplantae; Streptophyta; Magnoliopsida; Poales; Poaceae.